This 938-nucleotide small RNA is filed under the name Histoplasma ohiense. RNAcentral's name for it is "hypothetical lncRNA". Lineage: Eukaryota; Fungi; Ascomycota; Eurotiomycetes; Onygenales; Ajellomycetaceae. The record is from RNAcentral.
AGCCACAUUGGAAAUUGUUGAUAUCCGAUCAUUCCUUUGCUUUUCUUUCUAUCCAUUGUUCUCCGUAUUUACCAUCAAACCAUCAUCCAGCAACAAGAGACAUGAUGAUGAGAACCAUAAUAUAAGGAGACACAGAAUACGCGGGCACAGCACAAGCCCCCGGAUUUCGCCUCCUUCGUGGUCGUUCUAUUUUUUUUAUUUACCAUGAGUGGAACUGAGAUGGUUUGUUCCACCCAUCCCGUAAGAUCCCCUUUUUUCCAGUGAUUAAAGGAUGUACGGGAAGGCAUGUUUCGUCAGAUAAGAAUUGAAAAAAUAAUGUUGUUCUAUGAGCCUGUAAUUCAUUUCCCGCAAAGCGGCGGUGGUUGAGCGACGUAGGUUGAAUGAAGCAGGGAGUCUAGCGCGUUGUGAACGACACAACUUCCACGCAGGAUUCAAAACAAUCACUUGCAAAAACUCAGCUCCUUCCAGCCGUCCCAUAGCCGACCAUGAUAUCGCCCUGCGAUCCGGCCAUCCUAAGCAACAAUCCCCAGUUCAAAGCCCUCCAUCAACAGCUGACAACGGCCAUCUUAAACCCCGAUGGCUCCACGCGCGCCUAUGCCACCGAUCCGUCCCGGAGAGCAGCGCAGGCUGAUCUCAAGAAGUACUUGGGAAGGGCGGUGAAAGCGCGGAUAUUGACAAGGGUGGUUGCGCAGGUUGUGGGGGAUGGGAACGGGGGUUUAGAUGACGAGCUCCGAAACCUUGUUUCCGUCAUCGUUCUCUACCUUCAACACUCCCCCAAUAAUAACAAUAAAGAGAAUGGAAAUAACCAAAUCUCCCCGGACGAGACCUCCGAGCUCCUCUCUCUUCUCUCCCCAGAUCUGAAAAAGUUCCACUCGGCAAUUCCCUCCCUCAUCCCUAGCAUCACCGCCAUCCUCGCCGCGGACCUCACUCAUCUAAAA